RNAcentral lists this unclassified non-coding RNA (224 nucleotides) under Hevea brasiliensis (rubber tree). Lineage: Eukaryota; Viridiplantae; Streptophyta; Magnoliopsida; Malpighiales; Euphorbiaceae. The record is from RNAcentral.
UAUCCAGCAAUUUCAUCAGCCCCACCAGCUUAGUGGUUCACCCUAAUCCAUUCAUAACGGCCAGAAAGCGGUACAUCAUUUACCACAUCAAAGUUGUACUUCUCCAUAAAAAGGCGUUGUUGUUGCUGCUCAGCAAAGGUGAAAAACUCCUCGAUUUCAUGAGCUGAAGGGAUAUUUCUAAGGAUAAAGUUCCUUCUUCUUUGAGUUGUGUUUAACUCUGUUCG